GACGAACGCUGGCGGCGUGCUUAACACAUGCAAGUCGAACGGAAAGGCCCUGCUUUUGUGGGGUGCUCGAGUGGCGAACGGGUGAGUAACACGUGAGUAACCUGCCCUUGACUUUGGGAUAACUUCAGGAAACUGGGGCUAAUACCGGAUAGGAGCUCCUGCUGCAUGGUGGGGGUUGGAAAGUUUCGGCGGUUGGGGAUGGACUCGCGGCUUAUCAGCUUGUUGGUGGGGUAGUGGCUUACCAAGGCUUUGACGGGUAGCCGGCCUGAGAGGGUGACCGGCCACAGUGGGACUGAGAUACGGCCCAGACUCCUACGGGAGGCAGCAGUGGGGAAUAUUGCACGAUGGGCGGAAGCCGGAUGCAGCAACUCCGCGUGCGGGAUGACGGCCUUCGGGUUGGAAACCGCUUUCGCCUGUGACGAAGCGUGUGUGACGGUAAUGGGUAAAGAAGCACCGGCUAACUACGUG
Molecule: ribosomal RNA, 468 nt
Filed under: uncultured bacterium
Lineage: Bacteria
Description: partial 16S ribosomal RNA
Rfam family: Bacterial small subunit ribosomal RNA
Source: RNAcentral